GCUCUGUCCUUACAGGUGUUUCACUGAAACGAACCCCGCCAGGGCAGGAAUGCAGCAACGGUAAUUUUAAUGGAAGACGCUGAAGGGAAACGGAGUGGA
This 99-nucleotide signal recognition particle RNA is filed under the name uncultured archaeon. RNAcentral describes it as "Bacteria_small_SRP". It matches the Rfam family "Bacterial small signal recognition particle RNA". From Rfam's summary of the family: The signal recognition particle (SRP) is a universally conserved ribonucleoprotein involved in the co-translational targeting of proteins to membranes. Archaeal SRP consists of a 7S RNA and homologues of the eukaryotic SRP19 and SRP54 proteins. In most bacteria, the SRP consists of a 4.5S RNA and the Ffh protein (a homologue of the eukaryotic SRP54 protein). The record is from RNAcentral.